RNAcentral lists this ribosomal RNA (243 nucleotides) under uncultured bacterium. RNAcentral describes it as "partial 16S ribosomal RNA". The record is from RNAcentral.
CUGCUGCCUUCCGUAGGAGUUUGGGCCGUGUCUCAGUCCCAAUGUGGCCGUCCACCCUCUCAGGCCGGCUACUGAUCGUCGCUUUGGUAGGCCGUUACCCUGCCAACUGGCUAAUCAGACGCGGGCCCAUCUUAUACCACCGGAGUUUUUCACCCUGGGCCAUGCGGCCCUGGGCGCUUAUGCGGUCUUAGCACCUAUUUCUAAGUGUUAUCCCCUGUNAUAAAGGUACGUACGUACCGUACG